This 510-nucleotide ribosomal RNA is filed under the name uncultured Glomus. RNAcentral describes it as "SSU rRNA". It matches the Rfam family "Eukaryotic small subunit ribosomal RNA", at positions 548 to 1063 of the family's 1831-position model. Lineage: Eukaryota; Fungi; Glomeromycota; Glomeromycetes; Glomerales; Glomeraceae. The record is from RNAcentral.
UUGGAGGGCAAGUCUGGUGCCAGCAGCCGCGGUAAUUCCAGCUCCAAUAGCGUAUAUUAAAGUUGUUGCAGUUAAAAAGCUCGUAGUUGAAUUUCGGGAUCAAUUUAUUGGUCGUGCUAUUGUACGUACUGGUAUUAUUGAUUCCUACCUUCUGACGAACCAUGAUGUCAUUAAUUUGGUGUCAUGGGGAAUCAGGACUGUUACUUUGAAAAAAUUAGAGUGUUUAAAGCAGGCUCACGCUUGAAUACAUUAGCAUGGAAUAACGAAAUAGGACGUUUGAUUCUAUUUUGUUGGUUUCUAGGAUCGACGUAAUGAUUAAUAGGGAUAGUUGGGGGCAUUAGUAUUCAAUUGUCAGAGGUGAAAUUCUUGGAUUUAUUGAAGACUAACUACUGCGAAAGCAUUUGCCAAGGAUGUUUUCAUUAAUCAAGAACGAAAGUUAGGGGAUCGAAGACGAUCAGAUACCGUCGUAGUCUUAACCAUAAACUAUGCCGACUAGGGAUCGGAUGAUGU